Molecule: non-coding RNA, 226 nt
Filed under: Paenibacillus sp.
Lineage: Bacteria; Bacillati; Bacillota; Bacilli; Caryophanales; Paenibacillaceae
Description: T-box sequence
Rfam family: T-box leader
About the family: Uncharged tRNA acts as the effector for transcription antitermination of genes in the T-box leader family. T-boxes are found upstream of many aminoacyl-tRNA synthetase genes and some amino acid biosynthetic genes usually in Gram-positive bacteria.
Source: RNAcentral
UUAUUUUCGUUGAUUGGGAGAGUAACUGCACUUGACUUUAGUCCAAGCGAGCCGGGAUGGUGGAAACCGGUACAAAGUCGGCCGUGAAGCGGACCCAGGAGAUGGCCUUCCGAAGCAGCAUGCUGUAGGGAGCCCCGGCUUACGCCGUUAUCGUAUGAAGGUGGUUAGACCCUUGCGGGGUUUAACAACAAGAGUGGUACCGCGAGCACAAGUCCUCGUCUCUUUA